This 465-nucleotide ribosomal RNA is filed under the name uncultured bacterium. Its description in RNAcentral is "bacterial SSU rRNA". It matches the Rfam family "Bacterial small subunit ribosomal RNA", at positions 339 to 797 of the family's 1533-position model. The record is from RNAcentral.
CUACGGAAGGCAGCAGUUUCGAAUCAUUCACAAUGGGCGAAAGCCUGAUGGUGCGACGCCGCGUGAGGGAUGAAGGCCUUCGGGUUGUAAACCUCUGUCACUGGGGAAGAAACGCUUCAAGUUAAUAGCUUGAAGCCUGACUUAACCCGGAGAGGAAGCAGUGGCUAACUCUGUGCCAGCAGCCGCGGUAAUACAGAGACUGCAAGCGUUAUUCGGAUUCACUGGGCGUAAAGGGUGCGCAGGCGGCCAAGUGUGUGAGGUGUGAAAGCCCGGGGCUUAACCCCGGAAUUGCACCUCAAACUACUUGGCUAGAGCAUUGGAGAGGGUAGCAGAAUUCACGGUGUAGCAGUGAAAUGCGUAGAUAUCGUGAGGAAUACCAGAGGCGAAGGCGGCUACCUGGACAAUUGCUGACGCUCAGGCACGAAAGCGUGGGGAGCAAAAGGGAUUAGAAACCCCGGUAGUCCG